This 628-nucleotide small RNA is filed under the name Pongo abelii (Sumatran orangutan). RNAcentral describes it as "processed transcript". The record is from RNAcentral. Lineage: Eukaryota; Metazoa; Chordata; Mammalia; Primates; Hominidae.
CGACGUACACAAGGGGGUUGAGCGUUCCGUGGGGAGAGUGCGAGGUCAGGCCAUGAACUUGGGAGAUGGUUUAAAGCUUGAAACUGAAUUACUGGAUGGAAAAACCAAGCUAAUAUUGUCUCCAUAUGAACAUAAAUCAAAAAUUUCUGUGAAGUUAUAAAGAAUAAGCUUCUGGUGUUUUAACAGAUGGGAAAUAAAGCCAAGAUUGCAAAAUGUCCUUUAAGAACAAAAACUGGGCACAUUCUAAAAUCAACACAAGAUACUUGUAUUGGGAGUGAAAAACUUUUGCAAAAGAAGACAGUUGGUUCAGAAACAUCACAGGCAAAAGGUGAAAAAAAUAGAAUGACUUUUUCAUCCACUAAGGAUUUAUGUAAACAAUGUAUAGAUAAAGACUGUCUUCAUAUCCAGAAAGAGAUUUCACCUGCAACCCCUAAUAUGCAGAAGACUAGAAACACCGUAAAUACAUCUCUAGUAGGUAAACAGAAGCCUCACAAAAAACACAUCACAGCUGAAAACAUGAAGAGCAGUUUGGUGUGUCUAACACAAGAGCAACUACAACAGAUUUUGAUGACUGUAAACCAAGGAAAUAGAUCUCUUUCCCUGACUGAGAAUGGAAAGGAGGCAAAAA